Long non-coding RNA from Phyllopteryx taeniolatus (common seadragon), 2047 nucleotides. RefSeq lists it as uncharacterized. The transcript is spliced from 4 exons. The record is from RefSeq and is a predicted model, not a curated record. Lineage: Eukaryota; Metazoa; Chordata; Actinopteri; Syngnathiformes; Syngnathidae.
GUGAACGGCAACGCCCACCGCAAGCGUGAUGACCGCCGCCAAGAGGGCAAAGCCCCUCCGCAAGACGAGCUGCGUGGCGGAGAGCCACUUCCCCGCUUUGUCCUUGGCCUCCCGAUCCUGACUCUUUGAAGCUUCCUGGCCGUCCACCUGCAACACGUCAAUAUUCACCAAAGCUGGCAAUCACUCUGCGAACAUCACGCAAGCGUCCACUCACCGAGCAGUCGCACAGCGUCACUUCGUUCGGCACCAGAACUUUCUUCCCAGCUCGCUCCUCAGCCUGACCAAAAGAUCAUCAAAAUCUAUUUAUGUUGCUAUCAUAUAUUUAAUACAGAGUAGUGGUUUAACAAUAAAAUGAAUGCGAAUGAAUAAAUAUUUUACUUUUCAUUGGUCUCUGGGGCUCAAAUGAUUUUGCACGAUGAAACCUUCCAAGCAAACAAGUGACCAAGCAAACAUGACUAGAGAAUUAAGUCUUUCAUAUUUAAUACAGAGUCGUGAUUCAGUAGCAAAAUCAAUGUGUGUGGAUACAAUUGACUCAUUUGGCCCGCAGAGCACAAUUGAUUGUUCCCCAUGACUUAUACCUGGCAACAAAUAACCAAGCAAACGUGAUGUGACCAAGGAAUUCUGUGGAUAUAUUAUAUUUAAUUUGGCGUAGUGAUUCAUUCAUGUGCAUUCAUCGUGAUUCAUUCAUUCAUGUUUAUUAAUUUGUGCAGAGACACCUGUUUCAUUUCGGCUUGUGGGGCACAAAUGAUUGUGCCCCAUGAAAUUUGCCUAGCAACAAAGGACCAAGCAAACAUCUGACGUGACCAGUUGAGCUUGAAAAUAAGAAUGAGGAAGAAAGACGCCUCAAGGCAUACACACGUCAGGAGACCCAGCCACAAGCCUGGCGGGCGGCAAACAUGAGGGCGACCCCUAUUGGCAGGCCGAUGCAGUAGUAGCUCACCAGGUUGGACGCAGCGGCGAUCUUCUGCAUUCCGCAGCCGACCAGAAUUCCGGAGCACACGCACUGAGCGGCAAUACAGGGGACCAGCGCUACUUUACAUGAGAGGAUGGCUCUGGCGGUGUCUCCUGCUCCCAGGGCGUUGCCCACACGAACGCAGGCAGCUGUUUGGAUGCCCAGCGGAAACUGCAGGGAUCCCCGACGAGGUUUAUUAGCACGAUCCUCAAUUGAAUGCUGAGAUGUUAAGUAAGGAAGGGGUAGGUACCAACCAACCAUGUACGUAAUGGCUGAUAUCUCCACCAUCACGUGCUGGGCCGCAAGAUCCGCCUCGCCCAGAACACCUGGCGACAGAAAGUUCACGCCAAAUGAUCGACUGAUUUAUGACAUUAUUAAACCUGAUAUGGUAAUUUUGACUGAUUUAUGACAUUAUAAAACCAAAAAUGCCAUGAUAUUUCAUGGUUCACUGUUCAUGGAUUCAUGACAUUAUGGAAGUUAUGAUGCUUAUUCAGUAUCACAAUCAAAUACAAUAUAUUUUUAUGAUGUGUGACAUAAGUAUCCAAACAAAAUUUUCUCUUUAUAUCGACAUUAUGAAACCUGAUAAAGUAUCAUAAACAAAAAGGAUAUUUGGACACUAGGGAAACUGUUAUGCUAAAUUUCGAGUAAUUUGUGACAUUAUGAAACCAAUAUUGUACUUUUACGUACAGUGUCUACCUACAGUGUCAGCUUUGUUCAAUUGUGACUGAUUUGUGACAUUAUGGAAGCCGAUCUGUUCAAUUCUGAGUCAUUCAUGGCAUUGUGAAACCAGAUUUGGCACUUAUAUAGAAUUAAGAAACAAAAUUAUAUCUCUGUUCAAUUUUCACCCAUUUAUGGCGUUAUAUGACUAACAAAAUGAUAUCACUUUGUUCAUUUUUGACUGAUUUAUGGCAUUAUUAAACCUGAUAUGGUACUCGAACAUAUACAGUAUAAUAAACAAUGAUCUAGCCUUUCUUAACAUUGAAUGAUUUAUGACAUUAUGAAACUUGAUAUAGUGUUUCUACAGUCUUAAAAAAUACAUCUCUUAAUUUUGAGUGAUUUGUGACCUUAUGAAACUAAAUUGUAUUACUUAUGCAA